GCCAGGAAAACUCUACAUCUCUCCUCGCACGGAUUACAUCUUCAGUUAACGUGGGGACAGCGGAGCAAGCACACACUGCAGUGUUAAGUAUGGCGUCCUCGGCUGUUCAAGUCCAAGAUCCCUUCCAGACUCUCACUGUCCUCUGUCGGGAACCUUUUUGGAAUGCAACGCGAGUAUGGGCGUCCGAGGUACCCGAGAUGGGCGCGUGUCUGGAAAGGACGGCGUUGGUGUGGGCGCCGAGUGUCCUGCUGUGGGCGUUCGGGUUACCGCGUCUCGCCCAGCUCAGGAGGCGCCCGUCCGACCCCGCUCCAUGGACAAUGCUCGUGAGCUGCAAGGUGUUCUUCACGGCGAUCCUGCUGGCGUCGACGGCCACCCAGCUGGCUUGGGCGGCGGCUGGAGGAGAGAACAUUCCUCCGGCAGAGCACGUCGAAGGGGCGGUUCUCUCGGCGACUUAUAGCCUUCACAUGAUGCUCAUCCUGGUGGGGAGGAGGAAAGGUGCACGGAGCAGCGGGUUCAUCUGGCUAUAUUGGCUGUUCUCGUUAGUGUGCAGCCUCCCUCAACUCUAUGCUUUCUUCGGCGGAUUAAAUGGAAGAAUCCAGGGUGUUCCUCGCACGGUCGCCGCUACCUUCGUCAUACAGUUCCUCUGUCACGUCGCGCUGUUCCUCGCCAGCUGCUUCAGCGACUCCCGCUCUGCCAACGAGAAAGGCGAGGCAUCGGAGAAGCCGUCUCCGCUGCUGCAGGCGUCUCUCCCAAGCCGCCUCUUCUUCUGGUGGACUCUGCCCCUCGUCUGGCGCGGCUGGAGACGCCCCUUGACAUCGGAUGACCUCUGGGACAUCGAGCCCCAAAAUUCCUCUUCGACGCUCGCGGUCCAGUGGGAUAAUGCUAUCAGCAGGGACAAGGAAUCUACUUCACCAGCAUACAAAACGCUAAAGAAAGCCCGCUACGAACGGGUCACGACGCCAGACAGUGAAGUCUCUAUCCUGCUCUGCAUGUGGAGACUGGCGAAGGGCGCCUUCCUCGCCUCCCUGCUCUUCCAUUCCUUGUCGGAGGGCUUGCAGUUCCUCACUCCUCGGAUCCUCAGUCGAAUCAUCAAGUUCAUGGCUGACGGCGACGAACCCGAGUGGCAUGGCUACUUCUACGCGGUCUCGCUCUUCCUGUCCUGCGGCGUGAGUUCCCUCCUGAGAAACGUCUUCAGCUUUAGGAUAUACUGUCUUUCGACGAGGAUCAGAUCAGUAAUCAUGACGGCUGUCUAUCGCAAGGCUCUUUCCCUCUCGGGAACGGCUCGGCGCGACUCAAGCGUUGGCGAGAUCGUUAACCUAAUGGCAGUCGAUGCACAAAUCAUUGGCCGCAUUUUUGCAGUGAUUUGCUACCUCGUUACCUUGCCUGUGACAAUCAUCGUCUCCAUCAUCUUGCUUUGGCAACAACUCGGUGCGAGUGUGUUGGCCGGAGUGGCGGUGCUGGUUCUCCUGGUGCCGCUGACUAGCUUCUUGGCCAAUAGGGUCAAGGUUCUUCAACAAGCCAAUACGAAGUUCGGAGAUCAACGAGUGAAGUUGAUGAACGAGAUCAUUAGUGGAAUUAAGGUAUUGAAACUAUAUGCAUGGGAAGGAGCCUUCUCUAGCAUGGUAGACAAAAUCAGAAAAAAAGAAAUGAAUCUUCAACAGAAAGUGGCUCUGUGUAAAGCCCUCAAUUCUUUCUUAUCUGGCACAUCACCAUACACAGUCGCUCUGGCCACCUUUACUACAUACUUGUUAGUAUCUCCGGAGAACAUCCUUGAUGUAGAAAAAGCCUUUGUGUCUAUAUCAUUAUUCAAUAUCAUGAGGAUACCAAUCUGUAAGCUGCCCAUCAUCAUCUCCGACAUAAUCCAGGUAACUGUAGCUUUAAAGCGAGUCCAGAAGUUCACCAGUGCAGAGGAACUGGAUCCAACAGCUGUAUGCAGAGAUCAUUCUGAAGCUAAUGCUUUAGUCAUUCGACGCGGCAAAUUCACUUGGGCAGGCGACGAAGACCAGGCAACCUGGGAGUUGAAAGACAUCAAUCUGGAAGUUGGUCAUGGGAAACUGGUGGCAGUGGUGGGAUCAGUAGGUGCUGGCAAGAGUUCUCUCAUCUCGGCACUCCUGGGGGAGAUGAGGAAGCUUGAGGGCAAAGUUGUUGUCAAUGGGCGUGUGGCAUAUGUGUCCCAACAGGCGUGGCUCCAGAAUGCCACCUUGAGGGACAACAUCAUCUGGGGCCAGCCUUUCGAUGAGAAGAGGUACCGGCAGGUAUUGACUGUAUGCGCCCUCCAGCAAGACCUUAACAUGUUCCCUGGAGGCGACAUGACAGAGAUUGGAGAAAAGGGCAUCAACCUGAGCGGUGGUCAAAAGCAGCGCGUGUCCUUGGCUCGUGCUGCCUACAGUGAUGCUGACGUCUACUUGCUUGAUGACCCUUUGAGUGCUGUCGAUGCCCACGUUGGUCGAUUCAUUUUCGAUAAUGUUAUCGGACCUCAGGGUAUUUUGAAAGACAAGACUCGCCUUCUGGUGACCCAUGCUGUGACCUUUCUACCUCGGGUGGAUGAGGUGAUAGUGAUUAAGGACGGCCAAUUGUUAGAGAAAGGCACAUACAACAGCCUUAUAGCCAAACAGGGAGACUUCGCCAACUAUGUGCUGCGCCACCAAACUGAAAACGCAGAAGAAAAAUCCGAAAAAGAUCUGAAGCUGUCGGGAUCUGAUCCUCUCCUUCGUCAGGUGUCAUCGGAGUCCACCAAGUCUUCUGUUAACAACAGGGACUUGCCGCUGCUCACUAUGAAGAUAAAUAAUGAUGAAAAAGAAGAGACAGAAAAGCUGCGAAGUAAAGGGAGAGUUAGUAGCAAAACGAUCAAAGGACAAACGCUAGUGCAAGAGGAAAUAUCUGAAACAGGGAAGAUAUCUCGACACGUCUACCUAAUAUAUGGAAAAUCUAUAGGUCUAGUUUAUGCUGUGGUUCCUCUGGUCUUUAUAACUCUUGGACAGACUAGUAACGUUAGCAGUAAUGUAUGGCUGUCAAAAUAUUCCUUCACAAGUGCAAACGAUUUAUGUGGCGCUAACGUUACUUCGAGCAGCUUCGCCGUCACCCGAGAAAUGUUCCUCCUUGGCUAUGGGGCCUUUGGAGUCGCGCAAGCCUUGUUCCUGUUCCUGGGAAUGCUGUCGCUAAUGCAGGGAUGCCUAAGGGCGUCGCGGGCCCUCCACCAGCGCCUUUUGCAGAGCGUCGUGCGUCUCCCCAUGAGCUUCUUCGACACCAACCCCAGCGGGAGGAUCAUCAACAGGUUCAGCAAGGAAAUCAGCGUCUUGGACAUCAUCCUGCCGGACGUCGUCUGCGCUUCCUUCGACCGCAUCGUGCAGGUUAUCAUAAAACUAAUCAUGAUCAUCGCCGCCAUCCCUGCGGCUGGCGUCUUCAUGGUACCGAUCAUGGCCCUUUACUACGUCGUCCAGUCGUUCUAUAUCGCCUCGUCAAGACAACUCAAGCGCAUUGCGUCCGUCUCAAGAUCCCCUGUGUACUCUCACUUCAGCGAGACUCUUCAAGGAGUGUCCAUAAUCCGAGCAUUUAAAAAGCAACAAGAAUUCUACGAGGAGUCUCUUCGUAAAGUCGAUUUAUCCUUGAAAGCUGUGUAUGCCAAUGCCGCUAUCAACAGGUGGGUGACAGUGAACCUUGAGACCGUAGGGCAUUUGAUUACCUUUACGACGGCCAUGGUGGGCGUGGUCGGGAGGGAGUACGUCGGCGCCAGCCUCCUGGGACUCGCCCUGUCCUACGCGCUCAAUGUAGGUGGCGUGCGAGGCUUAAAUGACCUUGGGUGGUGGUGCGGCUGAUCGGCGACCUCGAAAUGCUGGUGCGCGUCUCAUCUGAAAUGGAGGCCAGUAUUGUAUCCGUGGAAAGGAUCAACGACUAUUUGGAGAGAGAACAGGAGGCAGCCUGGACCACGAGCGACACCCACUCCGUGUGGCCCG
RNAcentral lists this unclassified non-coding RNA (3953 nucleotides) under Penaeus chinensis. RNAcentral's name for it is "multidrug resistance-associated protein 1-like, transcript variant X2". Lineage: Eukaryota; Metazoa; Arthropoda; Malacostraca; Decapoda; Penaeidae. The record is from RNAcentral.